GGAAGAAUGGCAGAGUUGGUCUAUUGCACUAGUCUUGAAAACUAGCGGUCGCGAAAGUGACCCGUAGGUUCGAAUCCUACUUCUUCCG
Molecule: transfer RNA, 88 nt
Filed under: Candidatus Magnetobacterium bavaricum
Lineage: Bacteria; Pseudomonadati; Nitrospirota; Thermodesulfovibrionia; Thermodesulfovibrionales; Magnetobacteriaceae (SeqCode)
Rfam family: tRNA
About the family: Transfer RNA (tRNA) molecules are approximately 80 nucleotides in length.
Source: Rfam by way of RNAcentral